AUGACUCAUUUCAUAUACCCUAGUCUGAAAGGAAAAGAAGGUGUAGUUGAGACCCUAGGAAAUCACCUGAAAAUUGAUAAAGCUUUGAUUGAGUCCCUAGGCAACCUGCCCGAACUCGAGAGUCUGGAGAUCUCCUCUGCUGGUCCUUGGGAUGCCAACCUUAUGCAGGAUUGGGUGCCGUCUCCAAACCUCCGCAGGCUUAAAUAUGACGGACAUCUCGAGAGCUUGCCUACAUGGAUUUGUUCUUCGUCGCUUCCCCUACUCUCCAACCUAUAUCUAUAUGUUACUAAAGUGCGAUUUGAGGAUAUCCAGAUCCUUGGGAUGCUGCCGGCUCUCCGUUAUGUCACUCUCAUGUCAGAUCUAGGUGAUGGCAAGAACACAGUGGAAAAGUUGGUGCUUACCGUUGGUGCCUUCCCCAGAGCAAGAGUGUGCCUUUUUCACAAUCUUUUACUGGUGCACCCUACGUUCCAACCAGGAGCUAUGCCAAUGGUUCAACGCCUUCGCUUCGGUCUCCGAGUGAAUGACAUUCUCAGUCCUGAGUUCGAUUUGAGCAUAAGGAACCUUGAUUCGCUCAAGAAACUCAGAAUUGACCUUUUCAAUGAGGGAAACAGACCUGGGGAUUAUUCUCAACCCAUGGACGUGCUGAGGCAUGUGGCAGAUGAGCAUCCCAAAAGCCCCACCCUUCGUGCCGAUAAAUACUGA
RNAcentral lists this ribosomal RNA (702 nucleotides) under Triticum aestivum (bread wheat). RNAcentral describes it as "partial small subunit ribosomal RNA". The record is from RNAcentral. Lineage: Eukaryota; Viridiplantae; Streptophyta; Magnoliopsida; Poales; Poaceae.